Ceratotherium simum simum (southern white rhinoceros) is the source of this 163-nucleotide non-coding RNA. The record is from RefSeq and is a predicted model, not a curated record. Lineage: Eukaryota; Metazoa; Chordata; Mammalia; Perissodactyla; Rhinocerotidae.
UGGCUGAGCUGCGGCGUUUCUCAUUGGCUGAGCUGUGGUGUUUCUCAUUGGCUGAGCUGUAGUGUGGGGAGAGAAAUCAUCCUUCAGUAGUGAAGUAGUUUUACUUUGUGCUCAAGAUGCAAGUGUCCUCUCUUCCUGUUUGGUGUAAUUGAUGGUGUGUGAU